This 370-nucleotide ribosomal RNA is filed under the name Nostoc sp. HG1. RNAcentral describes it as "partial 23S ribosomal RNA". It matches the Rfam family "Bacterial large subunit ribosomal RNA", at positions 2293 to 2661 of the family's 2925-position model. The record is from RNAcentral. Lineage: Bacteria; Bacillati; Cyanobacteriota; Cyanophyceae; Nostocales; Nostocaceae.
AAAAGUAACGGAGGCGCCCAAAGGUUCCCUCAACCUGGUUGGCAAUCAGGUGUCGAGUGUAAGUGCACAAGGGAGCUUGACUGUGAGAGUGACAACUCGAGCAGGGACGAAAGUCGGGACUAGUGAUCCGGCAGUGGCUUGUGGAAGCGCUGUCGCUCAACGGAUAAAAGGUACCUCGGGGAUAACAGGCUGAUCUUGCCCAAGAGUCCAUAUCGACGGCAUGGUUUGGCACCUCGAUGUCGGCUCGUCGCAUCCUGGGGCUGGAGUAGGUCCCAAGGGUUGGGCUGUUCGCCCAUUAAACGCGGUACGUGAGCUGGGUUCAGAACGUCGUGAGACAGUUCGGUCCAUAUCCGGUGCAGGCGUAAGAGCA